RNAcentral lists this transfer RNA (70 nucleotides) under Camelus bactrianus (Bactrian camel). It matches the Rfam family "tRNA". Rfam says of the family: Transfer RNA (tRNA) molecules are approximately 80 nucleotides in length. Their secondary structure includes four short double-helical elements and three loops (D, anti-codon, and T loops). The record is from Rfam by way of RNAcentral. RNAcentral also lists the same sequence under 1 other name. Lineage: Eukaryota; Metazoa; Chordata; Mammalia; Artiodactyla; Camelidae.
GAGGCUCUAGCUCGGCGGUAGAGCGCGUGCUUAGCGUGCACGGGUCCUGGGUUCAAUCCCCGGUGCCUCU